This 254-nucleotide ribosomal RNA is filed under the name uncultured bacterium. RNAcentral describes it as "partial 16S ribosomal RNA". It matches the Rfam family "Bacterial small subunit ribosomal RNA", at positions 524 to 776 of the family's 1533-position model. The record is from RNAcentral.
UACGGGGGGAGCAAGCGUUGUUCGGAUUUACUGGGCGUAAAGGGCGCGUAGGCGGCCACCGCAAGUCGGUUGUGAAAUCUCUGGGCUUAACCCAGAAAGGUCAACCGAUACUGCGGGGCUAGAGUGCAGAAGGGGCAACUGGAAUUCUCGGUGUAGCGGUGAAAUGCGUAGAUAUCGGAAGGAACACCAGUGGCGAAAGCGGCUUCCUGGUCCAGCACCGACGUUCAGGCACGAAAGCGUGGGGAGCAAACAGG